AGAGUUUGAUCCUGGCUCAGGAUGAACGCUGGCGGCGUGCCUAACACAUGCAAGUCGAGCGAUUCUCUUCGGAGAAGAGCGGCGGACGGGUGAGUAACGCGUGGGUAACCUGCCUCAUACACAUGGAUAACAUACCGAAAGGUAUGCUAAUACAGGAUGAUAUAAGAGAUUCACAUGGAUUUCUUAUCAAAGCUCCGGCGGUAUGAGAUGGACCCGCGUCUGAUUAGCUAGUUGGUAAGGUAACAGCUUACCAAGGCGACGAUCAGUAGCCGACCUGAGAGGGUGAUCGGCCACAUUGGAACUGAGACACGGUCCAAACUCCUACGGGAGGCAGCAGUGGGGAAUAUUGCACAAUGGGCGAAAGCCUGAUGCAGCAACGCCGCGUGAGUGAUGAAGGCCUUCGGGUCGUAAAACUCUGUCCUCAAGGAAGAUAAUGACGGUACUUGAGGAGGAAGCCCCGGCUAACUACGUGCCAGCAGCCGCGGUAAUACGUAGGGGGCUAGCGUUAUCCGGAUUUACUGGGCGUAAAGGGUGCGUAGGUGGUUUCUUAAGUCAGGAGUGAAAGGCUACGGCUCAACCGUAGUAAGCUCUUGAAACUGGGGAACUUGAGUGCAGGAGAGGAAAGUGGAAUUCCUAGUGUAGCGGUGAAAUGCGUAGAGAUCUGGAGGAAUACCGGUGGCGAAGGCGGCCCCCUGGACAAAGACUGACGCUCAGUGCGAAAGCGUGGGGAGCAAACAGGAUUAGAUACCC
This 750-nucleotide ribosomal RNA is filed under the name uncultured bacterium. RNAcentral describes it as "bacterial SSU rRNA". It matches the Rfam family "Bacterial small subunit ribosomal RNA", at positions 8 to 787 of the family's 1533-position model. The record is from RNAcentral.